This 32-nucleotide non-coding RNA is filed under the name Mus musculus (house mouse). The record is from RNAcentral. Lineage: Eukaryota; Metazoa; Chordata; Mammalia; Rodentia; Muridae.
UAGUAAGAGGAAAGUAUUAUUUACUCAGAUGC